AUUGAACGCUGGCGGUAUGCUUAACACAUGCAAGUCGAACGCAGCAUGAGGAAAGUUUACUUUUUUCGGUGGCGAGUGGCGGACGGGUGAGUAAUGCAUAGGAAUCUACCUUUUAGUCUAGGAUAACUACCCGAAAGGGUGGCUAAUACUGGAUGUGGACUACGGUUUAAAGCAGGGGACCUUCGGGCCUUGCGCUAAGAGAUGAGCCUAUGUGGGAUUAGCUAGUUGGUGAGGUAAUGGCUCACCAAGGCGACGAUCUCUAGCUGGUUUGAGAGGAUGAUCAGCCACACUGGGAAUGAGACACGGCCCAGACUCUUACGGGAGGCAGCAGUGGGGAAUAUUGGACAAUGGGCGAAAGCCUGAUCCAGCAAUACCGCGUGUGUGAAGAAGGCCCUAGGGUUGUAAAGCACUUUUGUUAGGGAGAACGGGUUUUACUACUAAUACUAGUAGAAUUUGAUGUUAC
This 463-nucleotide ribosomal RNA is filed under the name uncultured bacterium. RNAcentral describes it as "SSU rRNA". It matches the Rfam family "Bacterial small subunit ribosomal RNA", at positions 30 to 478 of the family's 1533-position model. The record is from RNAcentral.